RNAcentral lists this ribosomal RNA (253 nucleotides) under uncultured bacterium. RNAcentral's name for it is "partial 16S ribosomal RNA". It matches the Rfam family "Bacterial small subunit ribosomal RNA", at positions 103 to 354 of the family's 1533-position model. The record is from RNAcentral.
CGGGUGAGUAACACGUAUGCAACCUGCCUGCCACAGCCGGCUAAUCGGGAGAAAUUCCGUCUAAUACGGCAUAAUGCAUCGACGGGACAUCCUGUUGGUGCCAAAGGUUGAUUCCGGUGGCGGAUGGGCAUGCGUCGCAUUAGUUAGUUGGCGGUGUAACGGACCACCAAGACGACGAUGCGUAGGGGUUCUGAGAGGAAGGUCCCCCACACUGGUACUGAGACACGGACCAGACUCCUACGGAAGGCAGCAG